UGGGGAAUUUUGGACAAUGGGGGAAACCCUGAUCCAGCCAUCCCGCGUGUGCGAUGAAGGCCUUCGGGUUGUAAAGCACUUUUGGCAGGAAAGAAACGUCAUGGGUUAAUACCCCGUGAAACCGACGGUACCUGCAGAAUAAGCACCGGCUAACUACGUGCCAGCAGCCGCGGUAAUACGUAGGGUGCAAGCGUUAAUCGGAAUUACUGGGCGUAAAGCGUGCGCAGGCGGUUCGGAAAGAAAGAUGUGAAAUCCCAGAGCUCAACUUUGGAACUGCAUUUUUAACUACCGGGCUAGAGUGUGUGAGAGGGAGGUGGAAUUCCGCGUGUAGCAGUGAAAUGCGUAGAUAUGCGGAGGAACACCGAUGGCGAAGGCAGCCUCCUGGGAUAACACUGACGCUCAUGCACGAAAGCGUGGGGAGCAAACAGG
Molecule: ribosomal RNA, 429 nt
Filed under: Acidobacteriota bacterium
Lineage: Bacteria; Pseudomonadati; Acidobacteriota
Description: Acidobacteria bacterium partial 16S ribosomal RNA
Rfam family: Bacterial small subunit ribosomal RNA
Source: RNAcentral